UGACCACGGCUACAAACAAACCACAACC
This 28-nucleotide non-coding RNA is filed under the name Mus musculus (house mouse). The record is from RNAcentral. Lineage: Eukaryota; Metazoa; Chordata; Mammalia; Rodentia; Muridae.